RNAcentral lists this ribosomal RNA (466 nucleotides) under Streptococcus sp. oral taxon 068. Its description in RNAcentral is "bacterial SSU rRNA". It matches the Rfam family "Bacterial small subunit ribosomal RNA", at positions 28 to 476 of the family's 1533-position model. Lineage: Bacteria; Bacillati; Bacillota; Bacilli; Lactobacillales; Streptococcaceae. The record is from RNAcentral.
GAUGAACGCUGGCGGCGUGCCUAAUACAUGCAAGUAGAACGCUGAAGCUUGGUGCUUGCACCGAGCGGAUGAGUUGCGAACGGGUGAGUAACGCGUAGGUAACCUGCCUGGUAGCGGGGGAUAACUAUUGGAAACGAUAGCUAAUACCGCAUAACAGUCGAUAUCGCAUGAUGUUGAUUUGAAAGGGGCAAAUGCUCCACUACCAGAUGGACCUGCGUUGUAUUAGCUAGUUGGUGAGGUAACGGCUCACCAAGGCGACGAUACAUAGCCGACCUGAGAGGGUGAUCGGCCACACUGGGACUGAGACACGGCCCAGACUCCUACGGGAGGCAGCAGUAGGGAAUCUUCGGCAAUGGGGGCAACCCUGACCGAGCAACGCCGCGUGAGUGUAGAAGGUUUUCGGAUCGUAAAGCUCUGUUGUAAGAGAAGAACGAGUGUGAGAGUGGAAAGUUCACACUGUGACGGU